AUUGAACGCUGGCGGCAUGCCUUACACAUGCAAGUCGAACGGCAGCACGGGUGCUUGCACCUGGUGGCGAGUGGCGAACGGGUGAGUAAUACAUCGGAACGUACCUUAUCGUGGGGGAUAGCGCAGCGAAAGUUGCGCUAAUACCGCAUACGCCCUGAGGGGGAAAGCGGGGGACCGUAAGGCCUCGCGCGAUUAGAGCGGCCGAUGUCUGAUUAGCUUGUUGGUGAGGUAAAAGCUCACCAAGGCGAUGAUCAGUAGCUGGUCUGAGAGGACGAUCAGCCACACUGGGACUGAGACACGGCCCAGACUCCUACGGGAGGCAGCAGUGGGGAAUUUUGGACAAUGGGGCAACCCUGAUCCAGCAAUGCCGCGUGAGUGAAGAAGGCCUUCGGGUUGUAAAGCUCUUUUGUCAGGGAAGAAACAGCAGCUCUAACACAGUCUGCGAAUGACGGUACCUGAAGAAUAAGCACCGGCUAACUACGUGCCAGCAGCCGCCGUAA
RNAcentral lists this ribosomal RNA (500 nucleotides) under uncultured bacterium. RNAcentral describes it as "partial 16S ribosomal RNA". It matches the Rfam family "Bacterial small subunit ribosomal RNA", at positions 30 to 523 of the family's 1533-position model. The record is from RNAcentral.